AAAUUGAAGAGUUUGAUCAUGGCUCAGAUUGAACGCUGGCGGCAGGCCUAACACAUGCAAGUCGAACGGUAACAGGAAGAAGCUUGCUUCUUUGCUGACGAGUGGCGGACGGGUGAGUAAUGUCUGGGAAACUGCCUGAUGGAGGGGGAUAACUACUGGAAACGGUAGCUAAUACCGCAUAACGUCGCAAGACCAAAGAGGGGGAGCUUCGGG
This 213-nucleotide ribosomal RNA is filed under the name Escherichia coli. RNAcentral's name for it is "partial 16S ribosomal RNA". It matches the Rfam family "Bacterial small subunit ribosomal RNA", at positions 1 to 209 of the family's 1533-position model. The record is from RNAcentral. Lineage: Bacteria; Pseudomonadati; Pseudomonadota; Gammaproteobacteria; Enterobacterales; Enterobacteriaceae.